Non-coding RNA from Vicugna pacos (alpaca), 2387 nucleotides. Lineage: Eukaryota; Metazoa; Chordata; Mammalia; Artiodactyla; Camelidae. The record is from RefSeq and is a predicted model, not a curated record.
UCGCGAGAGGAAAAGGGCUGACCCGUCCAGAAACGAGACUUGGGGGCCAGAGGCGGUGGGAAAUACUGACGGAGCCCCGGCACCUGAAGUAGCAUUCCUGUCUUCUCCGUCUUCCCGUCGGACGGAAAAUAGUGAUGAGGUCGCUGCUCUGAGAGGCAUGGUGGAGACCACAGCUGCACAACUCAGGUGCUCUGAACAGAGAUAUCCAGUACUUCCUCUGUAAACGAAUUUGGUCGCCUGCAGCAACUCUGUACCUGGAGAAAAUUAAAGUGUUGCCAGAAGUUUCCUGAGGCGAGCUGUAGUCUCCAUGGCUGGAUGCCAGUUGUGAUGACAGUGUUCUGCUCCUGGCAUUUCGUCCCUGCCAGAAAAAUGGACGAGACACUGCUGGUGGAUAACAGCUGAAGAAAAGUAUAGUAAUUUCACAGCAACCAUCAGUCCUGUGCAGAAACUCACGGUUUUGGAAUACUAUGUGCACUUUGAGAAUCAUGCAUCACACUUGUCUGAUUCCAAACCGUAACUUUGUAUUGAGCUAGGUCUCUGAUCCUUUAGGGUAUUAUGUUUGUUUAUUCACUUUUUGUUGUUUUGAAUUGGGUCUCCUUAACUAUAUACUAAAAUGCCUUUUAGGAUAAAAAUUAUAUAAAUCUUUAUUAUUAUGUAAGCCUUUAGAUUUAUUUUAACGUAAAGAAAGUUAAAAGAAAUUUGCAUAACAUAUUUGAAAUGUAUUCAGACCAAACUUUAAGGGUCUUAAGUAACAAUGUAGAAAAAUUAUUUUUCUCAGAGUUAGCAUCUCAGGUAUAAAGAAGAAAUAGGUAAACAACCACAGGAGUUGUUCGCUAGUCAGCAGUCAGGCUGUCAUCCUGGCAUUCUUAGCAUCUCACUUACUCCUUACACAUCUUUUUUCUUAGUUCAAAUUCAAAGUAGUGUUUCUAUUUGAACACACAAUGUUUUUAUUAGACUAGGAACUAGUCAUCAUUUUGAUGACUAUUGGCUUUCUUGUUUAAAUCUUCUUCUUAUUUGAUCAUCCAAUUCCUUAUUUAAUAGAGGCUGGUUUAUUUUCUUUUCAUUUUAUCAUCAUAGACAAACUGGAGUUGAUAUUCUAAUUGGGCUCAAAAUGCAUUAUGUAAACCAUACAUUGACACCCAAAACCAUUUUAAAUGAUACAUCCCUGGUGUCUCUGCCAGUCUGCAAAGAGCUGAGCUGGGCCUGGUGUCUUAACCUCUGUUUCUUCAUCUAGUAAAAUAAGAGGCAGGAUAAAGAUUUUUAAGCUGACUUUCAGCUCUGAGACUCUGUGAAUAUCUGACUUAAGCAGACUUGGCUCUCCUUGAAAACCACCUGCUCAGUGUCCUGACCUGAACUGUGAUAAUUUGAUACCAGCAUAAAAGACAUGCAUUCAACAGGCAGGGCAGCAAGAAUUGUCUGUUUAGAAACAUCUGGGCAGGGGUAACCGGUCUUGUCCUCUGCAAUUUACAAACAAGGAAUUAAACCAAGCAAAACCGGAUUAGGUGUGCUCUAGUUUUACAGCACAAUGCAACAGAAUGCGUUGAAAACUGAUUUAGCUUUUGUGAGAGUUGGGUUCACGUCUCGCUCUAUUGUUGACUCUAGAAGGACAAACCUCGUCACUUCUCCAGGCUUCAAUUUACCAGCCCAUAUAUUAAAUAAUGGAGAAAGCAACCUCUGAAUACUUUUCCUUACUUUGUAGAAAUAGAGAAAUUGAAAUGUUCUUGAGAUUCUGUCUUGAACUCUGCUACUGUUUAUAACAUGAGCACCUUUACUUCAAAUAAAAGCAGCCUUCUAAUCUAUGCUGAAGGAUGAAAUAAAGGUGAAUUGUCAGGUUCAAUUCACAUCCAUCAUCCAUUAAAUGCUCUUUUGUCUUGUUUGUUUUGCUACAGAUGACUUGGUAUUUUUGUGAAAACUGCCAACUAUUUUUUGUUAUGACUCUAGAGAUCAUUACCUUGGCCCAAAUUUAUGGAGAUCUGUACUCAAGUGGCACACCUGCUUCAUGCCUUCAUUUGUCUACAUUUUGUUGGUCACUUACUCUGAGUCAAAUCCUCUAGCAAGCUAUUUCUGGGCAAUGAGCUUUUCAGCCAUCUUCUAAGCAUCCCUAGUUGCUCAGAGAUCCUUACAGAGGCAGGAGCUAGAUGGUCUUUUAACCCCCUCCACCUUGUUACCGCCACUUCAUUCAUUUUCAAUAGAAAGUGUCAGGAGUAAGGGGUGCUAACUAGGUAGUAGUUACAUACCUAUUUGCGAUGGAAGCAGGAAGAAAAUGGAAGGCAUUAAUUAAGGAAAUAUUCAUCUCCUCAAUGUUUUUUUACAGCCACUAUGGAAAACAGUGUGGAGAUUCCUCAAAAGACUAGGAACAGACUUACCGUAUGACCCAGGAAUCCCAC